This 441-nucleotide ribosomal RNA is filed under the name Allodiplogaster sudhausi. RNAcentral's name for it is "SSU rRNA". It matches the Rfam family "Eukaryotic small subunit ribosomal RNA", at positions 91 to 532 of the family's 1831-position model. Lineage: Eukaryota; Metazoa; Nematoda; Chromadorea; Rhabditida; Diplogasteridae. The record is from RNAcentral.
GAACGGCUCAUUACAACAGCUUAUAUCUACUUGAUUUUGACUUUCCUAAUUGGAUAACUGCGUUAAUUUUGGAGCUAAUACAUGCAUCAAAGCUCUGAACCUCGUGUGAAGAGCGCAUUUAUUAGAAUAAGACCAAUCGGGGCGACCCGUCAUUGGUGACUCUGAAUAACGUAGCUGAUCGCAUGGUCUUGCACCGGCGAUAGGUCAUUCGAUUGUCUGCCUUAUCAACUUUCGAUGGUAGUUUAUGUGACUACCAUGGUUGUAACGGGUAACGGAGAAUUAGGGUUCGACUCCGGAGAGGGAGCCUGAGAAACGGCUACCACAUCCAAGGAAGGCAGCAGGCGCGUAAAUUACCCACUCUCAAUACGAGGAGGUAGUGACUAUCAAUAACGAGACCGAUCUCUUUGAGGCCGGUUAUCGGAAUGAAAACAAUUUAAACCC